UCUCACUAAAAAUGAUGCAUGUUGAUUCUUUCCAUAUACACAACCUUCAUCUAUAUUAUUAAUGGAAGGUAAGCCAAUAACUAUAUUCUUACCGUGCAAUAACUUCAGUCCAUGAAAGUUUAUGUGCCCUUAUCUUUUAUGCCACAACCAAGAAUUUGAUUUAAUAGUAGCAGCCAAAGUAAAAUCUAUGGAAGAUAUUUAGAGAAGAAACAUUUUAUUUGUAGUCAUAGAAACUUCCACAGGAGACACAUCAGAUUUGGGGGUAGGAAUAACAC
Molecule: long non-coding RNA, 275 nt
Filed under: Elaeis guineensis (African oil palm)
Lineage: Eukaryota; Viridiplantae; Streptophyta; Magnoliopsida; Arecales; Arecaceae
Description: long non-coding RNA (EGUI_LNC036084)
Source: RNAcentral